UGUUUGUGUAUUAUUUUUGCUUCCCUUUCCUUAUGUUCAUCUGUUCUGUGUCUUAAAGGCCUCAUAUGAGUGAAGUCAUAUGAUAUUUGUCUUUCUCUGACUAAUUUUGCUUAGCAUAACGCUAGGGAGUCAAUUUCUUAAGAAUGUCUUUUAAAAACUAGGAGAUUCAAGUAAGCUAGAAUUCUUUUGCCUGGUCUUGACUGGUAUUAUUUCAGUUGUCUCAGGGAGAGAACUGAUGCAAUCAAAUCAAAUGGACUUUGAGGCUUUUAGCAAGUUCAGGACACCAAGCGCCCCUGGGGAAGUAACUUAGACAAGAAGGAACCCAAGAGAACUGGAUGGUCUUAAGUAAUUUUAGAAGAAGAAGCUGUGUCAGUGCACAUCAAACACAGAAUCCUAGAUAGCCCCUGUCGAACCUGGAAGCGAACCAGUACCUUGAGCCAAGGGAGAAAAACCACAAAAAAGUGCUACCAGUCCAAAUUGCUGGAGGUUUAAGGGGGAAAACAGUUGUGUCAGGGUCAGAAAAUGCAAUGCCGGAAGGAAGUUUUAAAAGAGAUACGAGAAGCAAGACAGUUCUGUUCUUUCACCCAUACAGCGUCUUCCUAAUGUGUGCGUUCAUCAUGUUAGCACCCUCCUUUGUAGGUGUGCUGCAGGUAAACACAAUUGAAAAAGAUGCUUGAACAGUUUAAGAUGAUUCAGCUUGUCACAGUGUUCUGUUUACGUAGGAGGCCAAGUAAACCGUGUCUCCUCUCCGAAUUAGAGUCUGUUUCAGUCGUGAGGAGAAAACUCCAGAAGCCUUUCAAGCUUUAACUCACACGGAUAUUCCGUAUAAGGCUCGAGGGAAAAGUCAUGUGUCUCCUUGGGAGGCAGACUUGAUUGGAAAAGCAGGGCUUCUUCCUUUCCAUGUCAUUCUGUCUCACUGGUCCGGUUACCAGUGCAAGGACGAUAUGCCGUGACAAAGUCGAUAGAAUGUCAGGUUGCAGAAGAAAGUGAGUUGGUUGAAAAAUGCUCUUGAAGUCGAUUUAGUCAGGUUGUCUGAGUUGUUGCAGAACCAGUUCCCCGCCCCCAUCCCCAACUUGUGGAGAACAGAUGGAAAAAGGAAAAUAGUUUAUCUUUCAACAAGAGAAAUGGUGGCCCUGCUAAAUUUAAACUCUUUGGCUUUAACUUGCGACAUCUGGGAAAAUACUCAAAUCCGUUAAUCAUCUAGUUUGUAAUCACCUCGAAGAAGAGCCCAAGGUCCAGGAUAGUCCCCUCUGUAUGGGACUCUGAAGGGCAAAUGUUGCCAGCCUGAUUUCAUUUCCUUGAAUAAAAGAUUUUUUUACACAAGUCUUGUCAAGGAGAGGGAAGCAACUUGUAUUUUCUCUCCCUGGAUCCCAGGAAGACUUGGGCGGAGCUUUUCAGGGGAGCAUCCAAAUGGGCUUUCGGGCGUGUGUGCCCAGAAUGGGUCAGUGCAGUGGCUCAGCACCGAGUCAGAGGGACAGAGAGAGAGCCUGGCAUGUGACAACCUAUAAUAUAGAAGGAUUAUUUGUGCUCUUUGAAAAGAUUCACUGUGAUUCCCUUUCACACCCAGCACAGAGCCCAACGCAGGGCUCGAACUCGCGACCCUGAGAUCAAGACCUGAGCAGAGAUCAAGAGUUGGAUGCUUAACCGACUGAGCCACCCAGGCACCCCUUCAUUUAUUUCUCGAUUUGCAAGUUAUUCCAUUCAUGUCAUUUUUAAGGGGCACUUCUCUUGUGGAAAGUUAGAUGUAGCUGCCCUAAAUGUGUUCCUCAGUUACCUUAGAUGAGGAGAUUCGUAGCGUGUUCCUUAAAUUUGCACAUGACACUGAGCCUAACAAGGUCAUUUGUAUUUUGGAAUUGGAUUACGAGUGACCUUUAGAGAUGGGAGCAGGGCCUUAAUAAGGUUGCAGAGGAUAGUAGGACAUAGUUCUUUUGGGCAGAUUCUCUCCUUUCUGUGCUGAUGUGAGUGGACGAUAAAUGGCUAGUGGCUAGUCUGGAGCUGGGACAGAACCCAAGGCACUGGUAGACUGAAAAGCCCAUACUUCUUCUGUUGGCAUUCAAAGACGUUUUCAGUUGCCAAUACACAUUUCAACCAGGCCCGAACUAACGUACUGAUUCAGAUGUGAGUGGUUUUCUUUCCGUAAGCCAGAUUUAUAUAAAGGUAUGGAAUUACAAGAUACAAAAACCCAAAGGGACCUUCCAGUUGGGUUGUCAACCUUUUCGUUGCUUAGAUGAGACAACAGCCCCAGUAAGGGAUAAACGACUUACUCUGGACCAGUUGCUUUGCUAGUUGGCUAUAGCCACGAAUGGACCAGGGUCUUCCAAGUCCUAGGUCACUGCUCCCCACACCACGCAACUGGUCUGCAUUUAGACAUGAGGGAAAGGAAGUUUCACUGAAAGGAAAUUUGGAAGUUCCAUUAAGUGUAUGACUUUGGAGCUAUAACAAGACUUGUCUACAAGGUGAGGAUGUGGACUACCUAGAAGAUUCUCGAGUAUAGUGGUUUAAAUUGGUGGGCUCUAGAAUUAGGCUACCUGCGUUCAGAUCCCAGCCGUGUCAUUUCCUAGUUGUUCGCCCUGGACGAGUUGCUUAUCCUCUCUGAGCCUCAGUGUGCUCAUCUAUAAAAUGGAAGUAAUAACAGCACCUACUUCGUGGGGUGGUGAAGGUGCCCAGAUGAGGCUACAGAUAGAAUGGUAUGCUGAGCCUAAGUGAGGUCCUGACACAUAAGCACAGAUGCACAUUACCUAUGAUUAUUACUGACCACCAUUACCGUCUUCAUCAUCGUUGUGACUUUACUCCAGGGAGACUUUUACAACUUGACCUAAGUAAACCCUUAGUUCAGGAGUUCACUCGUCUCAGGUUGCUCCUUCAUCCCAAACCUCUGUCCCUCUGGUCUCCCGGGCUAGAAGUUUUGUAACCAUCUUUGCGCUCUCUCCUUCACGCUCAUGGUCGGUCUGUCACCAAGUCCUGUCUUGUUGGUUUAAAAUGUUUCUGCCUUCCUCUUCAUUCCCAGGCUAACUCAGGUCCUGAUUCCCUCAGGCUGGGAUUACUAGUCAAGGCUCCUAGCUUCUUUUUCCUGGCUAUGGACAGAAAUCUGUAGCCUGCCUUCCUUCCCCAAUCUGUCCUAUGUGUCACUGCCAGACUGACCUUCCUGAGACACUGCUUUGAUCCUGUUUCCCCCUCCCCUGGAAUCUGUAAUGAGUCUAUUGUCUGCCGAAGCCAGGCCGAGCUCCCUUGCCUGACCCCCAGGUCCUUCUAGCACAUCUCUAUCCAACAGACAUAUAAUGCCAGCCAUACACAAAUUGUAACCUCGUCUAGUAGCCACGUUAAGGAGUAAAAAGAAACAGGUGGAACUUUUAGUAAUACAUUUUAUUUAACUGCGAAAAUUUAAAACACUAUCACUUCGGCACGUAACCAAUAUAAAAGUAAAUCCUGAGAUAGUGUCAUUCUUAUUUUUCUUCUAAGUCCUCCAAACGCCGCAUGGAUUUUACACUUACCUCACAUCUCAAGUCAGACUAGCCGUGUUUUGGGGGUUUUGUUUUUGUUUUUUGGUUUUUUUAGAGGGCAGGGAAGGGGCAGAGGGAGAGAGAGAGAAUCCCAAACAGGCUCUGCUCUCAGUGUGGAGCCGAUGCGAGGCUCGAUCCCCAAUCCUGCCACUAUCACCCCCACAAACAAGACCGACUUAAGUCUUACUUCUUCCUGGUUUCGGCAAACAAAAUAGGGACAGUAAUACCAUGCCUAUUUUAUAGGGUUGUCCUAACCAAAUGUGAAAUGUGGAAGUACUUGGUAAGCUGUAAAGGUUCCAUAAGAAUGUAUGGAACUCAUUAUCGUGAGUCAAGAUUUUACUGACCUGAGAGUAGCGUACCUGUGGAGUAAUUUGGAAGAAAAGACUGUGUUAAGAAGACUGUAUUAGGAAACGGGCUGUCCUGAAUUCAUUUCUAUAAAAAAAAAAAAAAAAUCAACUCCAAACAAUGAGCGAGAAAUAGAAACACGGACUUUCUGCCACUAGCCCUUCAUGAUUAUCUUUUGGGAAGAAAUUUGUCACAUUAAUGAAGUUCUCAAGAUAGUGAGAUUAAUCCAUAGGCUCUUUCCCCUUCGGCAUGGUGAGGAAUGCGUUUAGGGGCUUUUAGUUCUUGCGUUGUUCAGUUCAUUGCAAACAAUUGGGAUUGACCUGAUAACAGAAUGCCAGCGAUUCAAGUGCAGGAAUGAUUUGUAAAAUGCUUCCUUCCAAUCCAUAGGCUAAAGAGAAAUCGAAAGAGCAAUUAUUCCGACAGAUUAAUUAGCAAGACUCUGAACAAUCGGGACACGUUAUUUUCCAUAUGGAGGAGUUACAGGGUGCUUGCCUAAGUGGUACCCACAUCUUACCCCAGCCCUUUACCAAACCAAGCUGUCUGCUCAUUUUUCUUUAGUCAUGCCGCGGACUGCUUUGCGGCUCCCAGGAGUUCAGUGCUCGCUGUGGGUAUAAUGCGGAAUUUACAGUGUGGAAGUAAGAUUGCUCCGUGAAGUAACUCCGAGAAAGCAGUCAACUUUGUAAAGUGGAUUGUGAGGGAAGGGCCCACCAUUCUCAGGUUUGCCCAGGCCACAAAGCUCGACCUAAUGGAUGACCUGGGUCCUUCGCCCAUCCCUUCUGAUCAGCUCCCAAAUCCUUCUGAUGCCGCCUCUGAAAUUCUUGUUUCAUCGGCAGCCCCUUCUCCUCCCCUCUGCUCUUCCCAUAAGCUAUGGCAACAGUUUCCAAACCAGUUUUCCUGCCUCAAGCUUCAGCCUCCCCUCCACCCCCCAGUUUGUUCUCCAACUCCCCAGCAGAACGAUCUUGCUAAAACACAAAUCUGAUCAAGCCGCUGCCCUGAUUAAAAACCUCAAGUUAUUCCCAGAGCCAACAGAUGAAAUCCAAACUACAAAGCAUUAUACAGCCAGAAGCCCACUUAUCAGCCUUGCCUCCUGCCCUAUCCUUCUGUGGACUCUCCUUCUCUUCCUUGGCCUGCCCCUCCACGCCUGCCAUCAGUGCAGGAUGUCCUUUGCUCCUCUUCCGAUGCCCCAUCUUCCGUGAGGAGCCUUCCCUAACCUUCUGGUCACUUGUCCUUUUAGUGCCCAUAAAUACAUUUCUCAUGCCUCUGUGACAGGAACUCCUCAAGGGCUGAUCCCUUUCUAGAUCUCCAGCGUGCAGUGUUCUGUCCGGUACGGCAUAGUUGGCCCGUGCAAAUUUGUUGAAGAAAGGAAAGAAUUGCUAGUAUCCCUCCCAAAUGCAUACCUUUCUCUUCCACCACAAAGAAGAAAGUUCUAGGUAUUUGAGGAGGACAAUUUCCACACAAGCUUUCUUUGUAACUACGCUUUUAGUGAAAAGGCCAUAAUUGCUUGUGGCCUAAGAUUUUUCUUAGGCCACAAGGAAUUCUCAUGCUCUGCUUUCCCUAGGUACUAAAAGUCAUAUAUACAAUCUGGCCAAAGGGACACGUGGAAAGGUUUUACCUUUAGACCCUUCGAUCUGUAGGAUAUGUCAGGAAUAUUAAAAAAAAAAAAAAAACCCAAC
Long non-coding RNA from Felis catus (domestic cat), 5518 nucleotides. RefSeq lists it as uncharacterized. The transcript is spliced from 2 exons. The record is from RefSeq and is a predicted model, not a curated record. Lineage: Eukaryota; Metazoa; Chordata; Mammalia; Carnivora; Felidae.